Molecule: long non-coding RNA, 293 nt
Organism: Salvia miltiorrhiza (redroot sage)
Lineage: Eukaryota; Viridiplantae; Streptophyta; Magnoliopsida; Lamiales; Lamiaceae
Exons: 2
Source: RefSeq, a predicted model, not a curated record
CCAUCUCUUGAGAGUGAGAAGAAACCUUUGCAAUGCCUUUACAUGGUUGGUGUUCGUAUUGGAGAGACGACUUGAUGUUGGAGGCUUGGAGCAUUAUCUAUAAGAAGAAGUUGCAAAUUUGCUUUUAUUAUGUUGUAUUUGAUUCAAGACUUGUUAGUUUUUGAAUUUUUGAUGCCUUUAGACUAUUUGAAUGUGCAUUUUCGAGUCUAAUCAAUGUUUUGGAUAUCUAAGACUUGUUAUAAUUGAUUUGUAGAAGUACUUCUCGUAAUGAAAUGCUUUGUAAUUUUAUUCAA